This 253-nucleotide ribosomal RNA is filed under the name uncultured bacterium. RNAcentral describes it as "partial 16S ribosomal RNA". It matches the Rfam family "Bacterial small subunit ribosomal RNA", at positions 524 to 776 of the family's 1533-position model. The record is from RNAcentral.
CACGUAGGGCGCAAGCGUUGUCCGGAAUUAUUGGGCGUAAAGAGCUCGUAGGCGGUCUGUUGCGUCCGCUGUGAAAACUCGGGGCUUAACCCCGAGCCUGCAGUGGAUACGGGCAGACUAGAGGUAGGUAGGGGAGAAUGGAAUUCCCGGUGUAGCGGUGAAAUGCGCAGAUAUCAGGAAGAACACCAACGGCGAAGGCAGCUCGCUGGGACGGUACUGACGCUGAGACGCGAAAGCGUGGGGAGCGAACAGG